This 498-nucleotide ribosomal RNA is filed under the name uncultured bacterium. RNAcentral describes it as "bacterial SSU rRNA". It matches the Rfam family "Bacterial small subunit ribosomal RNA", at positions 28 to 534 of the family's 1533-position model. The record is from RNAcentral.
GACGAACGCUGGCGGCGUGCUUAACACAUGCAAGUCGAACGGUCCUGUUUUUGAAGCGCUUCGGCGUGGAGGGAGCGGGUUAGUGGCGCACGGGUGAGUAAUGCGCGAGGACCUGCCCGCGGGAGGGGGACAGCAGUUGGAAACGGCUGGUGAUACCCCGUAAGCCGGGAGGUAAAAGGGCGGAGACGCCCGCCUGCGGAUGGACUCGCGUCCUAUCAGCUAGUUGGUGAGGCAACGGCUCACCAAGGCGACGACGGGUAGCCGGCCUGAGAGGGUGUCCGGCCACACUGGAACUGAGACACGGUCCAGACUCCUACGGGAGGCAGCAGUGGGGAAUUUUGGGCAAGUGGGGGAGACCCUGACCCAGCCGACGCCGCGUGAGGGACGAAGGCCCUUGGGUCGUAAACCUCUUUUGCAGGGGAAGAAGAAGAUGACGGUACCUUGCGAACAAGUCCCGGACUAACUACGUGCCAGCAGCCGCGGUAAUCAACGAGAGUA